GACGAACGCUGGCGGCGUGCUUAACACAUGCAAGUCACGGGGGCGUCGCAAGGGCAACCGGCGAACGGGUGCGUAACACGUGAGCAACUUACCGAUUUGUUGGGGGAGUAGCCGGCCCAACGGCCGGGUAAGUACCGCAUACGCUCUUUGGGUGGAGUCACCUGAAGAGGAAACCUCCGGGGCGAAAUCGAGGGGCGUCGCGGCCUAUCAGCUAGUUGGUGCGGGUAACGGCCCACCAAGGCGAUGACGGGUAGCUGGUCUGAGAGGAUGGCCUGCCACAUUGGGACUGAGAAACGGCCCAGACUCCUACGGAAGGCAGCAGUGGGAAUCUUGCGCAAUGGCCGAAAGGCUGACGCAGCGACGCCGCGUGUGGGAGGAAGCUCUUCGGGUGUAAACCACUGUUGCCCGGAACGAAUGUCAGGAUUUGUCCUGAUUGACGGGUACCGGGUGAGGAAGCACCGGCUAACUCUGUGCCAGCCGCCGCCGUAAU
RNAcentral lists this ribosomal RNA (490 nucleotides) under uncultured bacterium. RNAcentral's name for it is "bacterial SSU rRNA". It matches the Rfam family "Bacterial small subunit ribosomal RNA", at positions 28 to 524 of the family's 1533-position model. The record is from RNAcentral.